This 342-nucleotide long non-coding RNA is filed under the name Capsicum annuum. Its description in RNAcentral is "long non-coding RNA (CANN_LNC020447)". The record is from RNAcentral. Lineage: Eukaryota; Viridiplantae; Streptophyta; Magnoliopsida; Solanales; Solanaceae.
CCAAUUAAGUUGAACUGUUCCUUUUAUAGAAGGAUUAAUUUGCUUACAUUUGCUCUCUAUCACUAUGCGGGGGUAGUUGUCCAUGAUAUCCUCCAAGAUGUAGUUUAAUCAUGGAGGGCUACUUGAUUUUUCCAUUUGAGAGUUUCCCGCCUCCGUGAAGUGGAGAUAAAAAUAUGUACCUAGUUCCGCAAUGCAGUCCUAUUGCGAAUCCUUACUGGAUUUGUUGAUUUUAACAGAUUCUCCUUGCUUCAUUUCUUUCUUUCCAUACUAAAUCCCAGUAUCCUCCUGCUCAGCAAAUCACUCCUCAUGCUUUCAUUCAUCAUUAACUUCUAAUUCAUUCAU